CCUACGGUGGGCUGCAGUGAGGAAUAUUGGUCAAUGGACGAGAGUCUGAACCAGCCAAGUAGCGUGAAGGAUGACUGCCCUAUGGGUUGUAAACUUCUUUUAUAUGGGAAUAAAAUGUUCCACGUGUGGGAUUUUGUCUGUACCAUAUGAAUAAGGAUCGGCUAACUCCGUGCCAGCAGCCGCGGUAAUACGGAGGAUCCGAGCGUUAUCCGGAUUUAUUGGGUUUAAAGGGAGCGUAGGUGGAUUUUUAAGUCAGUUGUGAAAGUUUGCGGCUCAACCGUAAAAUUGCAGUUGAAACUGGCAGUCGUGAGUACAGUAGAGGUGGGCGGAAUUCGUGGUGUAGCGGUGAAAUGCUUAGAUAUCACGAAGAACUCCGGUUGCGAAGGCAGCUCGCUGGACUGCAACUGACACUGAGGCGCGAAAGUGUGGGUAUCAAACAGGAUUAGAUACCCCGGUAGUC
RNAcentral lists this ribosomal RNA (460 nucleotides) under uncultured bacterium. RNAcentral describes it as "partial 16S ribosomal RNA". It matches the Rfam family "Bacterial small subunit ribosomal RNA", at positions 338 to 795 of the family's 1533-position model. The record is from RNAcentral.